UCCUUUCAUUAUUCAUGUGAAUUUCAAAUGCUUCUUUCCCGCACUAUAAUUUUUCUUUCGGAUGUUGUCAUAGGAAAAAAUAAAAUUGAUUCAAAGUAGUAAUCCUGCAUCUCGGAUGACCAGUGUAGAUGAUGCCCUUACACAGUCAAUUGGGAGUGAUAGUACAGGGCGCAUGCGGGGGAUAGGUGGAAAUGUAGGCAAGAUUGCAUUGAAGAAGACAAUACGUAUUGUACGUAAGCUCGGUGCGGUGUCGUGGGAAUGAGAUAAUUUGGUAGAUGAAUUAGAUGAAGUGAAGAAAAGCCUAGGAGGUCUCCACCAGAAGGUUAAUUGUUUUGUAGAUAAGCAAGGGGAACAAAGGGAUGUGGCUCCACCGACAAUUCCUCCAUUUAAAUCUAGUCAUGCAUUGUUAGCAUGUAUGCGUUUCUCUAAUAUUAAUUUAAGCUUAUGAUUAUAUGCACCUCCAUUUAAAAAUACUAAUGACAUGUUAUAUGUGUACAUGUAGCCUGAUUGGUAAAUCUUGGCAAGAAAUGCGAUCUCUGUGAUUGGAAGAAACGGGUUAUUGCUCGUGGUGAGGUGCAUGCAGUUGAUCCAAAUACCCGUGUCCAUGGAGCAGAAAUGGGCGAUGAAAAUUUUAGUGUCGUCCUGAUGGAGAUUAUAGCUCCGCAGUCAGAGCUAUGGAAGGAAGAUGGUUAUCAUGAGACGCUUGGAGAGGUCGGUGUAGGAGGAUUUGUCGUCUGGCUCGAGCUAUUUCUAACCAUCUAUCCAUGAUAUUUAUGAAUAUUAGACAUUACAAUUACUAACACAAUUAACUUUUGUUUUUAAACUAUACAGUAACAUAGACAGAUGCAUGCGUAUUAUGGAAUCGAAUGAAUUUAACACUCACUUCAUAUUACACCCACAUAUAUUGAAUGGAAUGGAUUUAACACCCACAUUUAUACAUUGAUAUAUUUGGCUGGCAUUUCAAUUUUCAACCUCCAUUUGAGGAAUUGAAAUAUUUGUAAUAAUUUUCACUUCUUUAAGUGUAAUUUGCACUUGGGGGAGAGAGAGAGAGAGAGAGAGAGAGAGAGAGAGAGAGAGAGCUGUAGGGAAUUUUCAUCAUCCAUGGCAGCUGUUGCAGAAAAUGCGAUCAGCUCCAACGAUAAGUUUUUACGUGGUUCUGCUGUAAAUUCUUCCAUGACUGCUGGUGGUUCUGCAGGUCUACAAAAAUUACACCUCAAACAAAGUACCAUUUGCUAUAAGUUACUUCAAGGGUAAAUGGUUUUACGCUGGCUAUCUUAAAAUCAUGUAAAUAGCAAGAUGCUAAUGCCAGAGGUACUCUUAUUUGCAGGAUCUGGUUUUGAGUGUUGCAGGAUCAUCUGCUGAAGCUACACUGGCUGGUUCUCACCCCAAAGGUACUCUUACAUUUUUUUGAUGCAUUGAUUGCUAAGUACACAUUUGGGACUGAUCUGGUUUCCGUUGUUGCAUGUUGGUGUAGGUGUCACUUCAGGGGGAGUUAACCAAAUAAGUUUAUAUUUUUCUUUUUGGUUGCAUUUGAGUUUCUAAUUACCUGCUAGCCUUCUUUUCUUUUCUUUUAAUUGUAAUUCUCUUUGACUGUUUUAUAUCAAUAAGGGACGUCCCCGUAUUUAAGGAACGGUUUCAACAUGACAAUGACGGUUGUUGAUGCUGUAAGAUGCUUAUUGUCAAGACCAGGUGGAAAUGGUAAUCGAGAAGAUCCUUCAUCAGGUCUACAUGGUGGGAGGGGUAUGCUUGUAAUUUGGUUUUGCUUCUCUCCUCUUUUUUCUUCAUGUAUUUUUUGUUUGUUUCCUUUAUUGGAGUUAUGCAAUCUAAUGUUUUGCAGUAAUUGGAUUCAAACAAUUGGAUUGGAAAAUUAGGUCUAGGUUCUAUUGAGGUCAUAUGUGUACAAAGAGGAAUUGUUAUGCCUUGAUGAGUUAGGGUAUCUGUAGCGUCAAGAUUCUCACGGCACAUACUAGUGGGCCACUGUUUGAGUUAGUUGGCCAUGCAUUUUUUAAAUUAUAUAUAAACUAGAGAAAACCUGUUUCAAUAUUUUAAACAGGGAGGACAUAACUUGAUUAAAUGGUGCUGUGUUGCAAGUUGAGAAUGUAAGGUUGUGGUUUUGAUAAUAGCUUAGGGUGUUUUUUGGAGUUUAGAUUUGCAUUGAGUGCAGUAGUGACCACUGGGAGAACUUACCAAUGCUCAAUUUAGCUACUUGUGGCAUGGAGCUCUCUUGCCAUUUCAAGCUGGCUUGAUGUACUCUCUCUAUUUAAGUCAAUGCAGUAAGCAUUUAUAAGUUUUGGUAUUGAAUUUCCUCAGCUAACAUAGAACUACGGUGUCAGUACGGACAUUGAAAAUCAGGAUGACCAUGGCAUCUGCUCCUGUUUUUAGAUGCAGUGCGCGUGCAGAGAAGCGGAAGGAGUUUUACUCAAAGUUAGAGGAGAAACACCAAGCUUUGGAGGCAGAGAAAAACCAGUGUGAAGCCAGGACCAAGGGUGUUGGCGGAUGGGCAUAUCCCAUGGGCGUGUGAGUCAUUCUCAAGGCUACACGGACGCGACCUUGUCUGAGCGCCGGCUCUGAUUUGGAAUAUCAUUCGUGGGAAUCCAGAUGUGAAGUGGGAAAGCAUCAAGGGGUUAGAGAAUGCAAAACGCCCUCUCAAGGAAGCAGUUGUGAUGCCAAUAAAGUAUCCUAAGUAGGUCUCAUUAAGUCUGGCAAUGCCUCAUGGAUGUUCUUUUAAAAUUGUUGAGAAUUAUUUGAGAAAUUUUCUUUUAGAUGAAUAAUUUGUUAGCCUUUGAAGCUCAUUACGUUAGGUAUAAGCUUUGUAUUGCAUAUUGCGCCACUUUUUAUCCAUUCAUUUCUUAUAUGUCCA
Magnolia sinica is the source of this 2860-nucleotide RNA transcript. RefSeq lists it as uncharacterized. The record is from RefSeq and is a predicted model, not a curated record. Lineage: Eukaryota; Viridiplantae; Streptophyta; Magnoliopsida; Magnoliales; Magnoliaceae. The transcript is spliced from 6 exons.